This 460-nucleotide ribosomal RNA is filed under the name uncultured bacterium. Its description in RNAcentral is "partial 16S ribosomal RNA". It matches the Rfam family "Bacterial small subunit ribosomal RNA", at positions 338 to 795 of the family's 1533-position model. The record is from RNAcentral.
CCUACGGGAGGCAGCAGUGAGGAAUAUUGGUCAAUGGGCGGGAGCCUGAACCAGCCAAGUCGCGUGAGGGAAGACGGUCCUAUGGAUUGUAAACCUCUUUAGGCGGGGAGCAAUGCCGGGCACGUGUGCCCGGUGGGAGAGUACCCGCAGAAUAAGCAUCGGCUAACUCCGUGCCAGCCGCCGCGGUAAUACGGAGGAUGCGAGCGUUAUCCGGAUUUAUGGGGGUUAAGGGGUGCGUAGGCGGAUUGUUAAGUAAGCGGGAAAAUGUCGGGGCUCAACCCGGGCCGGCCGAUGAGACUGGGGGACUAGAGUGGGUGAGAGGUAUGCGGAAUGCGUGGUGUAGCGGUGAAAUGCAUAGAUAUGACGCAGAACCCCGAUGGCGAAGGCAGCAUACCGGCGCCCGACUGACGCUGAGGCACGAAAGCGUGGGGAUCGAACAGGAUUAGAUACCCCUGUAGUC